Molecule: ribosomal RNA, 253 nt
Filed under: uncultured bacterium
Lineage: Bacteria
Description: partial 16S ribosomal RNA
Rfam family: Bacterial small subunit ribosomal RNA
Source: RNAcentral
UACGGAGGGUGCAAGCGUUAUCCGGAUUCACUGGGUUUAAAGGGAGCGUAGGCGGGCAGGUAAGUCAGUGGUGAAAUCUCCGAGCUUAACUUGGAAACUGCCGUUGAUACUAUCUGUCUUGAAUAUCGUGGAGGUAAGCGGAAUAUGUCAUGUAGCGGUGAAAUGCUUAGAUAUGACAUAGAACACCAAUUGCGAAGGCAGCUUACUACGCGGUUAUUGACGCUGAGGCUCGAAAGCGUGGGGAUCAAACAGG